This 260-nucleotide long non-coding RNA is filed under the name Musa acuminata (dwarf banana). Its description in RNAcentral is "long non-coding RNA (MACU_LNC010502)". The record is from RNAcentral. Lineage: Eukaryota; Viridiplantae; Streptophyta; Magnoliopsida; Zingiberales; Musaceae.
GUAUCUCCGCCCCUAACUCUUUUAAGUGUGAACCCCGAACCGAACCUACAUCUUGAGUUUUAGCACCCGGAACUUCUUAUAGAGGCCUCGACCUAGAGCAGAGCGUAAGCACCAACCCUAGCUACUUUACCCGGUCUGAAACUAAGGUAUUUGAAUUAGAUACAAGGGGGGGGCGCAGGGCCCAAAACACAGGACAUAGGCACUUUCACUCAUAUGGUACUGCAGCCCGACCUCUCAUAACCAGACUUUAGAACCAGAAC